CAUCACUAAACAUUGAAUCUACAUAUAACUAACAAGAAUAAUGAAUACGAUAAACAUUAAAACUAAUUUAAAAAAAUGUAGUAGCCAAGUCGAGAGAAUGGUCAUUUGACACUAUCAUUGGCCCAUUAAUUAAAGACCCUUACAUAUUAAUUCAAGACCUGAAAAUAAGCAAAAAGGGUGCUUAUAAGUGGAAUAUCAAGAAAAUGAUCAGAGGUGGCAGCCGCAGCACAGGAAGAAGAAACAGAGAGUUGCAACCAAAAUUAUAGCUUCAAAAAUGGAUACAAUCUUGAAAAGAAUAUCAUCCACGAACCAAAGAUGCAAGCUGAACCGCCUCUUCCACCGCAACCCGGUGGAGCUCUUGAACUUCCACCUGCUUGCACCACUACUAUUGCCAACGUCUCCGCCUUCUCCCUUGCUGGCUGUCUUGUUUAGCCUCUUGAAGAAGAACAAAAAUUUAGAAGGCUUCUUCAUCAUAUCUUUCUGUCACUAGUGUAUAAAAAAGGUAUCGAAUUUCAGAAAACUUGAGAUGGGUUUUAAGGAAUUGGGAUCGACUGGUUUUAUGUUAUUCGAGGUUUCUUGGGAUUUAAGGUUGGACAGGAGGGUAGAGGAAUAUGAUAGACUGUGUGGGUGUACAUAUUUAAGGAUGAAUUCAACCGUUACGCGUAUUCGUGGGUCAAAAGUGGGUGACGUGCGAACUGAGUGGGUUGUGGGCCUGUUAACA
This 721-nucleotide long non-coding RNA is filed under the name Olea europaea subsp. europaea. The record is from RNAcentral. Lineage: Eukaryota; Viridiplantae; Streptophyta; Magnoliopsida; Lamiales; Oleaceae.